This 16-nucleotide ribosomal RNA is filed under the name Colletotrichum boninense. Its description in RNAcentral is "partial 28S ribosomal RNA". The record is from RNAcentral. Lineage: Eukaryota; Fungi; Ascomycota; Sordariomycetes; Glomerellales; Glomerellaceae.
UGACCUCGAUCAGAGC